GACGUAGGGCGCGAGCGUUGUCCGGAUUAUUGGGCGUAAAGAGCUCGUAGGUGGUUUGUCGCGUUGGUUCGUGAAAUCUCACGGCUUAACUGUGAGCGUGCGAGCGAUACGGGCAGACUGGAGUACUGCAGGGGAGACUGGAAUUCCUGGUGUAGCGGUGGAAUGCGCAGAGUAUCAGGAGGAACACCGGUGGCGAAGGCGGGCUCUGGGCAGUAACUGACGCUGGAGGAGCGAAAGCGUGGGGAGCGAACAGG
This 254-nucleotide ribosomal RNA is filed under the name uncultured bacterium. RNAcentral describes it as "partial 16S ribosomal RNA". It matches the Rfam family "Bacterial small subunit ribosomal RNA", at positions 524 to 776 of the family's 1533-position model. The record is from RNAcentral.